Molecule: ribosomal RNA, 914 nt
Filed under: Massilia timonae
Lineage: Bacteria; Pseudomonadati; Pseudomonadota; Betaproteobacteria; Burkholderiales; Oxalobacteraceae
Description: bacterial SSU rRNA
Rfam family: Bacterial small subunit ribosomal RNA
Source: RNAcentral
CUUGCUCCGCUGACGAGUGGCGAACGGGUGAGUAAUAUAUCGGAACGUACCCAAGAGUGGGGGAUAACGUAGCGAAAGUUACGCUAAUACCGCAUACGAUCCAAGGAUGAAAGCAGGGGACCUUCGGGCCUUGUGCUCCUGGAGCGGCCGAUAUCUGAUUAGCUAGUUGGUGAGGUAAAGGCUCACCAAGGCGACGAUCAGUAGCUGGUCUGAGAGGACGACCAGCCACACUGGAACUGAGACACGGUCCAGACUCCUACGGGAGGCAGCAGUGGGGAAUUUUGGACAAUGGGCGCAAGCCUGAUCCAGCAAUGCCGCGUGAGUGAAGAAGGCCUUCGGGUUGUAAAGCUCUUUUGUCAGGGAAGAAACGGUGGGGGCUAAUAUCCUCGACUAAUGACGGUACCUGAAGAAUAAGCACCGGCUAACUACGUGCCAGCAGCCGCGGUAAUACGUAGGGUGCAAGCGUUAAUCGGAAUUACUGGGCGUAAAGCGUGCGCAGGCGGUUUUGUAAGUCUGACGUGAAAUCCCCGGGCUCAACCUGGGAAUUGCGUUGGAGACUGCAAGGCUAGAAUCUGGCAGAGGGGGGUAGAAUUCCACGUGUAGCAGUGAAAUGCGUAGAGAUGUGGAGGAACACCGAUGGCGAAGGCAGCCCCCUGGGUCAAGAUUGACGCUCAUGCACGAAAGCGUGGGGAGCAAACAGGAUUAGAUACCCUGGUAGUCCACGCCCUAAACGAUGUCUACUAGUUGUCGGGUUUUAAUUAACUUGGUAACGCAGCUAACGCGUGAAGUAGACCGCCUGGGGAGUACGGUCGCAAGAUUAAAACUCAAAGGAAUUGACGGGGACCCGCACAAGCGGUGGAUGAUGUGGAUUAAUUCGAUGCAACGCGAAAAACCUUACCUACCCUUGACAUGUA